Molecule: non-coding RNA, 261 nt
Filed under: Bacillus methanolicus MGA3
Lineage: Bacteria; Bacillati; Bacillota; Bacilli; Caryophanales; Bacillaceae
Source: RNAcentral
AGAGGAUGACUUAUGAGGUUCUGACCCCCUCCACAAAUAACAAUAAUAUAGAAUUGUUUUAUUUGUGUUAGCCUAUUUGUUGUAUUGGAGGGGUCUGGCCCUUUGCUUAUGAGUCAACCUCUUUUCAUCUUUUAGCGAUUAUCAAUUUUUUCCGGGUAAAGAUCGUGGUUCAUCAGGCGAUAUUCUGCCAUUUUUUCAUAUUUUGUUCCCGGUCUGCCGUAGUUUGUGUAUGGGUCAAUGGAGAUGCCGCCUCUUGGGGUA